Molecule: long non-coding RNA, 2774 nt
Filed under: Homo sapiens (human)
Lineage: Eukaryota; Metazoa; Chordata; Mammalia; Primates; Hominidae
Description: HSALNT0175977
Source: RNAcentral
CGAGAUUGCGCCACUGUACUCCAUCCUGGGCCACAGAGUGAGAAACCGUCUCAAAAAAAAAAAAAAAAAAAAAUAGGCCAUAGCCUGAGCUUAGCCUGCUGGCCAUAGUCUACAGACCCAUGCUAUAAUACACGAGUAACUGGUGUGAGUAACUACACACAGACAGAAAAGCACCCAGUGAACAGUGCCUUCAUUUCUCGAAUUUCCUGCUUUCUGUCAACAUGCAUCACACAGUUACAUGCUCUUCCUGUGGUUGCAAUCAGUUUAUCUUUGCAUUCUGCUGUUUUAAAAUUUAACGCCCAUUUCUGUGGAUUGGCAUAGCCCACAUUCUUGUGAAUCACCCACAGUGAUUCCUGCAGUGUUGUCCCCAGCCUCAAGCCUCUCUGCACCGUAAUUGUGCUUCUUUUCCUCAGAUACCUGCCUUGCAUUGGCCCUGGGUAAAUGUUUCCCUUGGCUGUGAAUAGGCAAUUAAAAUUCUGAACCUUUUAUGGCUCUGGAAGCUUAUCCGAUGAAACAAUACUCAUCCAGGCGGAUGGCCCACCAGCGCAAAGGGCUGAGGCCGCUGUAAGCCAAGGUACGCAACGCUUGCUAAACAGGAAUCCCUGGAAUGAAUCCAUGCAUGAGGCCUUUGUGCCAUGUGACAGUUGAAGGCUGUGGUGACCCCGGAACCGUCCCACUCCGAGACGCCUUAACACCGUUUUUCUGCUGUUACAAACCACAGAGCAACGCGUGUGCCUCCUCCCGCCCUGGGGACUCUUUCUGUGGGAGAGGUGCCUGGAUUUAGAGGAGCGACCACUCUUCAUUUGUAGGAUCUUGGUCACUUUCCCAGUUGUCACUCGGCCCACAAACUAGGAUGUGAGCAGCAUAUUAAGAAUCUGCAGAGAUGUUCCCGUCUGCCCGGCAUAUGGAUGUCCUUCUGGGCUGCAAAGUGGCAUCCUGUGGGCAACUCCCCCCACAACAACCAGCUGUGAGCUGUGCCCAGGCACAGAGGGACCUGGCUUUCCCUGUUUCUGCAGAUGGAGCCCAGGGUUUCAGGGAGGGAGGGGGCAGGCUGGGACCUGUUGGGGAUCUGGGCACUUUCUCAUGCUCCUUGAGCUGCAAGUCAUAGAAGGAGUGGGGUGGGAGCUGGGAAUGUACCUUCCCAAGGCCACUGGCAGAACCAGCAGGCCCUUUGCUCUGGGAUGAGCUCCCUCUGAGGGGUGGGGACAGUAAAGCGGACCGAAGUCCCUGUUCUGCGGGAUGGAAACUGGCUCCCCUCCAUUGUACAGGCCAGCUCUGGGGAUUUGGGCAGCAGAUUUGGGGUUGACAGCAGAAUGACAUGAUCACCAGUUGACCUUGGCCAGGAUGCCAGCUUACUUUCUCGCUUACUUCUGCAGGUUCUUUGUUCUGCGGGUGAGUCACCCAGGUCCUGCCCUCCGUGCCUGUCUGCCCUCUCCCACUUUCCCUGCCCUGAGCUUGUUCCCACUUGUAGAUUUGGCAGGUCACUGCCAAGGCCCCUAUUCCCCCAACAUGGCCAGUGCCCUAAGGGUGGGUUGUACAGGGAGGAGCUGGCGUGGUCAGUAGACUUGAAUCAGGGACAACUCGGCUGCUGAAGGCUGAGGGGGCCUUGCAGGGCUGCAGGUGCCUUGUGCACACAGGGAGUGGGUAGAGAAGGCAACCAGGGGCUCCUUCAGGCCUUAAUGCUCUGCAGCCCAGUGAGGCUGUGCCCAGAGAGUCUGGCGAGGCCCUGGUCUGCUCCCCCAGCCAAUGGCCUGAUGCUGUUCCAUCUGGGCACCCUGUCACUUUUCGUUCAUCAGGGAGUACAGGGUGAUUCAGGGUCUCAAAUGCAGGUGUUCACAAAAUGAAAUAGAACUUCCCUCUAUCCCCGUGCUUCUUUUUAUUUUUAUAACAAAUAUACAUCGUUAUAUUUUAUUUUUAUAUUUAUGUAUUUUAUAUAUAUGUGACAUCUACUACAUGACAGAAAAUAUUUAUGGCCAGGCAAGGUGGCUUACACCUGUAAUGCCAGCACUUUGGGAGGCUGAGGCAGGCGGAUCACCUGAGGUCGAGAGUUGGAGACCAGUGUGACCAACAUGGAGAAACCCCAUCUCUACUAAAAAUACAAAAUCAGCUGGGGGUGGUGGCGCAUGCCUGUAAUCCCAGCUACUCGGGAAGCUGAGGCAGGAGAAUCGCUUGAACCGGGGAGGCGGAGGUUGUGGUGAGCCGAGAUUGCACCAUUGCACUCCAGCCUGGCAACAAGGGAUAAACCCCGUCUCAAAAAAAAAAAAAGAAAAAAAAAAAGAAAAAAAUAUUUAUAAUGUAACUAAUAUAGCUAAAAUAAAAUGUAAUUUCAGUCUCAAGCCUUCAUUCUGUUAAGGGGACAGAAACUUAAUCUUGGUCAUCUUGGGGUCUCCCUCCCUGGGGCUGUGCCUGACUUCCAGGGGGCUCGGCGUUGGCAGGAUUUCUGGUGCUUGAGGUCACCUGUCAGCCUGUCUCUUGUCAUUGGCUAUCCGCCGUGCCAUCUGCUCCUGUGUGUCCUUGGCACUGUUCGCAUGUCUCCAGCUCGCUGGCUUUCUCUGCCACCUUGGAGCCACUCCUGGGUGCACAGGAGUCUUACUGCUCCCACGCUGUGCUGGGGCCUGGGAAGACUGCUGUGGCCUACCUGCCUCCGUGUAGCACACACACCCAUUUCUUCUUCUUCUUCUCCUUCUCCUUCUUCAGACAGAGACUCACUCUGUCACCUAGGCUGGACUGCAGUGGUGCCAAAUUGGCUCACUGCAACCUCCGCCUCCCGGGUU